RNAcentral lists this long non-coding RNA (500 nucleotides) under Mytilus galloprovincialis (Mediterranean mussel). Lineage: Eukaryota; Metazoa; Mollusca; Bivalvia; Mytilida; Mytilidae. The record is from RNAcentral.
AUAGGAUAACUAUAUUUGGUAUGUGCGUACCUUGCAAGGUCCUCAUGUCCGUCAGACAGUUUUUACUUGACCUCGACCUCAUUUCAUGGAUCAGUGAACAAGGUUAAGUUUUGGUUGUCAAGUCCAUAUCUCAGAUACUAUAAGCAAUAGGGCUAGUAUAUUUGGUGUAUGGAAGGACUGGAAGGUGUACAUGUCCAACUGGCAGGUGUCAUCUGACCUUGAAGUCAUUUUCAUGGUUCAGUGGUUAUAGUUAAGUUUUUGUGUUUUGGUCUGUUUUUCUCAUACUUUAUGCAAUAGGUCUACUAUAUUUGUUGUAUAGAAUGAUUGUAAGGUGUACAUGUCUAGCGGGCAGAUGUCAUCUGACCUUGACCUCAUUUUCAUGGUUCAGUGGUCAAAGUUAAGUUUUUAAGUUUUGAUCUUUUUAUCUAAUAUUAUAUGCCAAAGGUCAACUAUAUUUGGUGUAUGGAAAUAUAUUAUGAUCUAUAUGUCAGUCCCGCAGG